Molecule: long non-coding RNA, 187 nt
Organism: Telopea speciosissima
Lineage: Eukaryota; Viridiplantae; Streptophyta; Magnoliopsida; Proteales; Proteaceae
Exons: 2
Source: RefSeq, a predicted model, not a curated record
UACGUUAAGAGAAAGAAGAAGGUAGGCCCAGCCAUCAAAAAGCCAUCUCCAGCUUAUAUAUCCUGUGGUGCAGAGACAAAUGGAACGAGGUAAAGAAAGAGAACCCACAAGCAGAGUUCAAAGAAACCUCAAAUAUAUUGGGAUUGAAAUGGAAGAACCUCAGCCCAGAAGAGAAGACGCCAUAUGA